UGCAGUAAUUCACAACUAAGAAUAGAUUAUCAUAGUCUUUGUUCCCAUUGGUAUACUGUAGAGUGUUAUCGCCAGACAUACGCACCGCUUUUCCAUCCAGUUCCAGACAGGCGCUACUGGCCACGACCCAUGGGCCCACCAAUUGUACCGCCUCCAGUUAGAAGAAAGAAAGGUCGACCACGAUCAACACGUAUUCGUAAUAUAAUGGACGCAACCAGUGGUCGACGAACAAAAUGCAGCAUUUGUAAGCAGCACGGUCAUUAUAGAAAUACCUGUCCACAGAAUACAGAGAGAGCACAACAAGGACGUCGACAUGGCAGAUCUAGAGGAGGCGGGACCGGUUGAUGAGUCCGUCCUGACAGAGCAGCAUCUACAUAGGUCUUCAUUUAUCACGACUGAGGGAUAUCGCGGCGUUCAGUUCGUAGAGCAUGGCCGCAAAUUGAACCAGUGGGAUAUGGAUCAUCCAGCGGUGCUAGAUCUGCUACGACAGUCUGGAUUCUACGACAU
This is a long non-coding RNA of Ananas comosus (pineapple), 507 nucleotides long. RefSeq lists it as uncharacterized. The transcript is spliced from 3 exons. The record is from RefSeq and is a predicted model, not a curated record. NCBI's taxonomy places the organism in Eukaryota, Viridiplantae, Streptophyta, Magnoliopsida, Poales, Bromeliaceae.